RNAcentral lists this long non-coding RNA (253 nucleotides) under Homo sapiens (human). RNAcentral's name for it is "HSALNT0334418". The record is from RNAcentral. Lineage: Eukaryota; Metazoa; Chordata; Mammalia; Primates; Hominidae.
CCGCAAGAAGCAGGAGGGUUCGGACCUGAGACCGCGCCACAGGAGGAAGGCCAGGAUCUGGGAGCGCAAGCCUCAUCUUGCAGCCUGAGGGAACAGCCUCAUAUUCAGGCUUCCUUUUGCCUUCUCUGCUUCACCUUGAUUGAAGCUACCCUUCUCUGCACCUUCUUUAAGACUAUCCUAAACAUCCUGCCAUUAAUUAGCUGAACAGCCCAUCUAGUAAACAAGACCGAUGGUUGAGGGGCUGGAAAAGAGG